UAGGAGGCGGGAGAGGUGGACGGUACUCCACGUGUAGGGGUAAAAUCCUUUGAUCCGUGGAAGACCACCAGUGGCGAAGGCGGUCCACCAGAACGCGCUCGACGGUGAGGGAUGAAAGCUGGGGGAGCGAACCGGAUUAGAUACCCGGGUAGUUCCAGCCGUAAACGAUG
This 170-nucleotide ribosomal RNA is filed under the name uncultured archaeon. RNAcentral's name for it is "partial 16S ribosomal RNA". It matches the Rfam family "Archaeal small subunit ribosomal RNA", at positions 593 to 762 of the family's 1478-position model. The record is from RNAcentral.